RNAcentral lists this non-coding RNA (965 nucleotides) under Platalea alba (African spoonbill). RNAcentral's name for it is "12S ribosomal RNA". It matches the Rfam family "Bacterial small subunit ribosomal RNA". Lineage: Eukaryota; Metazoa; Chordata; Aves; Pelecaniformes; Threskiornithidae. The record is from RNAcentral.
AAAGACUUAGUCCUAAACUUACUGUUAAUUGUUGCUAGACAUAUACAUGCAACUAUCUGCAGUGUGGCGUAAAUGCCCUUGAUCGCCUUGUUAAGGCGAAAGGAGCAGGCACCAGCACACCUAAGUCGUAGCCCAAGAUGCCUUGCUUAGCUACACCCCCAUGGGUACUCAGCAGUAACUAACAUUAAGCAAUAAGUGUAAAUUUGACUUGUAACAACACCUGGGUUGGUAAACCUUGUGCCAGCCACCGCAGUCACACACGAGACCCAAACUGACUAUAAUAUGGUGUAAAGAGUGAUAAUGUUAUCAAGGCAACUAAGAUCAAAAUGUAACUGAGCUGUCAUAAGCCUAAGACGCACCUAAAGCCAUCCUCAAGAUGAUCUUAGCAUCCAUGAUUAAUUAAACCCCACGAAAGCUAACACACAAACUGGGAUUACAUACCCCACUAUGCCUAGCCCUAAAUCUUGAUAUUUUUGCCUACUAAAGUAUCCGCCUGAGAACUACGAGCACAAACGCUUAAAACUCUAAGGACUUGGCGGUGCCUUAAACCCACCUAGAGGAGCCUGUUCUAUAACCGAUAACCCACGAUACACCCAACCACCUCUUGCCAAAGCAGCCUACAUACCGCCGUCGCCAGUCCACCUUCCUUGAGAGCAUAACAGUGGACAUAAUAGUCUCAACCUCGCUAACAAGACAGGUCAAGGUAUAGCUUAUGGGGUGGAAGAAAUGGGCUACAUUUUCUAACAUAGAAAACUUUCACGGAAGUGGGCGUGAAAUCGCCCACAGAAGGCGGAUUUAGCAGUAAAGAGAGACAAUAGAGCUCCCUUUAAGCCGGCUCUGGGGCACGUACAUACCGCCCGUCACCCUCCUCACAAGCUACAAGCCUUUAUAACUAAUACCCAAAUUAGCUGAAGAUGAGGUAAGUCGUAACAAGGUAAGUGUACCGGAAGGUGCACUUAGCAUAC